This is a long non-coding RNA of Panicum virgatum (switchgrass), 944 nucleotides long. RefSeq lists it as uncharacterized. The record is from RefSeq and is a predicted model, not a curated record. Lineage: Eukaryota; Viridiplantae; Streptophyta; Magnoliopsida; Poales; Poaceae. The transcript is spliced from 4 exons.
CGAUGCAAACGGGCGAAGCCCAAUUUUUAUGAGGACAAAAUCCCGAUUUUCUCCUCCAAGAUGGAUCGAGCUGCGCCUUCUCCAUCGGGAGGGUGCGGGAGCGCCGCCGUCGCCUCAGACCUCGGCGUCCUCCGCCUCAUCCUCGCUGCCUCGGCGUCCUCCGCCUCAUCCUCGCCGCCGUCGCUACCCUCCUCUUCCCCGGUCCCAAGAAGCUAUCCGCUGCCGGAGGAGAUCACCGCCGCGGCUGUGCUCUGUUCAGGAUCUACAUCCUCGUCCAUAUAUAGGAGGCAUCCACACCAAGAAGAGUGAGGAGCACCAAGGACUUCCGGCGCCUGUUCAGGAUCUACAUCUUCCCGAGCGAGUUCUUGGUUGAUCUCUUCCUCUUUGACCACCUCCCAGGCUAUGUGUUGUUGUUCCCUGCCGCAUACUCAAGUUCUGGGCUUUCUUAGGAAUCAUGUUGCAGAUUCCCCUUAUCGUAUUGACAUCUUACCUCAAAAAUAAAUUCAGAGACACGAUGGUUGGCAAUAUGAUCUUUUGGUUCUUUUUCUGCAUCUACGGGCAACCUAUAUGCCUUCUCUUGUAUUACCAUGAUGUGAUGAACAGGAUCAACUAGACAACAUAAACUUCUGCAGCUAACCGUGAUGUAUAUCAUUUUAUCAUGUGUAUGAUAGCUAGCCUUUUCUCACUCUUGUAUCUGUACAUAAGCUUCAUUCUGGUGAGGUUCUACAUGUAACUGUAAUGGAAAUGUUAUUCCCCUUUCUGCACUGGUAGUGCCACCUGCUGACCUGCUCAUGAUACUAGUAUAACAUCAUUUGGUGUCUAGCAUGGAUUAAAGUUAAGUAUCCCUGUAAUCUGAACGUAGAUCUGUGAUGCCAUCUGGUACUCCAUCUUGUAUCUGUACAUAAGCUCUGCUGUUUUAGACUUGAGUAAAUUGUAGCUUGCAA